This 283-nucleotide long non-coding RNA is filed under the name Sorghum bicolor (sorghum). Its description in RNAcentral is "long non-coding RNA (SBIC_LNC004727)". The record is from RNAcentral. Lineage: Eukaryota; Viridiplantae; Streptophyta; Magnoliopsida; Poales; Poaceae.
ACCACUGUUACCACCAUCAUCACCAUACACCAUUCAUUCGCCACACAUGCGCAUCUUGAUUUGACUUAUUGAUUUGUUUCUUUGGAUCCAUGGUUUGACUAUACAAUAAAUGUCUUGUAAGUAUGUAUACUUUAUCUCCCACCUAUGAGCUCUAGAUAUUAAAGCCUUAUUAGAGUAGGGUGAGAGAGAAGGCAAUGUCACUAUGCUUUAUACCACAAAUACUACAUAUUUUGAGAGAAGGCAUAUACCAUCACUGCCUUGGUAAGGAUCCAGAAAUACCACA